AACGAACGCUGGCGGCAUGCCUAACACAUGCAAGUCGAACGAGACCUCCGGGUCUAGUGGCGCACGGGUGCGUAACGCGUGGGAACCUGCCCUUAGGUUCGGAAUAACUCCCCGACAGGGGUGCUAAUACCGGAUAAUGUCUUCGGACCAAAGAUUUAUCGCCUUUGGAUGGGCCCGCGUUGGUUUAGCUAGUUGGUAGGGUAAAAGCCUACCAAGGCGACGAUCCAUAGCUGGUCUGAGAGGAUGAUCAGCCACACUGGGACUGAGACACGGCCCAGACUACUACGGGGGGCAGCAGUGGGGAAUAUUGGACAAUGGGCGAAAGCCUAAUCCAGCAAUGCCGCGUGAGUGAUGAAGGCCUUAGGGUUGUAAAGCUCUUUUACCCGGGAUGAUAAUGACGGUACCGGGAGAAUAAGCUCCGGCUAACUCCGUG
This 433-nucleotide ribosomal RNA is filed under the name uncultured bacterium. RNAcentral describes it as "partial 16S ribosomal RNA". It matches the Rfam family "Bacterial small subunit ribosomal RNA", at positions 29 to 507 of the family's 1533-position model. The record is from RNAcentral.